This is a long non-coding RNA of Bos indicus x Bos taurus (hybrid cattle), 225 nucleotides long. Lineage: Eukaryota; Metazoa; Chordata; Mammalia; Artiodactyla; Bovidae. The record is from Ensembl.
UUUGCAGAGUAAUGCAUGAGACCAUUGGCCUACAGAGAUGAAUAAAUGAUGAGUGAAUCAAAUGUAUAGAUGGUUCUCACCUUGUAGGAACUCAGAGGAGGAGACAAUAAACAGAUUACAGUAACUCCAUGUAGUCCUGCCAUCUCUGCCUCGGCCUGCUUGAUGCGACUGUCUCCUUUGAGAGCCCUUGAAAAAGCCGCUUGCCCGUCAGAAGCUUUUCCUGUC